This is a long non-coding RNA of Brassica rapa (field mustard), 706 nucleotides long. RefSeq lists it as uncharacterized. Lineage: Eukaryota; Viridiplantae; Streptophyta; Magnoliopsida; Brassicales; Brassicaceae. The record is from RefSeq and is a predicted model, not a curated record.
AAAAUAUGAAAAUAUUGUUUUAAUGCAUAGUUGCAUGCUUCACUAACAUAUGAUGAAGGUCAAAGAGGUUUGGAACCAUUGUUGUCUCCGUUUUUCUAGAGAAUUGCGAUUUAUAGUGGUUAGUCCACCAAUUUAUGGAGUAUUAUAAAGUUUUACUAAAUUAAUUGACAAAAAAUUAAAACGAUGCUCAUGUACCAUAAAGAGAGUUUAAUAUACAUUAAUACAAAUGUAGAAUGUGUUUAGAAAUUUUAAAACAAUACUAAAGAUCAUAAGCUUUAGUAUAUAGACCAUUUACCGAAAAAUUCAAUAUUUUCGUAGGGGUUAACGCAUAGAUUUUGAGAAAAAUUUAAAAAUAUGAAAAUAACGUUUUAAUGCAUAGUUGCAUCCUUCACUAACCUAUGAUGAAGGUCAAAGAGGUUUGAAAUCAUUGUUGUCUCCGUUUUGUUUUUUAAAAAGCGAUUUUAUAGUGGUUAGUCCGACAAUUUAAGUAGUAUUAUGAAGUUGUACUAAAUUAAUUGACAAAACAUUAAAACGAUGCCCAUAUACCAUGAAAAAGAUUUUAAUAUAUAUUAAUACAAAUGAAGAAUGUGUUUAAAAUUUUUAAAACAACAUUAAAUAUCAUAGGCUUCAUUAUAUAGUAUUUACCGAAAAAAUUAACAUUUUCAUAGAGGUUAGCACAUAGAUUUUGAAAAAAAAUCAAAAAUAU